AGAGUUUGAUCCUGGCUCAGAGUGAACGCUGGCGGCAUGCCUAACACAUGCAAGUCGAACGGCAGCACAGCAGUAGCAAUACUGUGGGUGGCGAGUGGCGGACGGGUGAGGAAUACAUCGGAAUUUGCCCUGUCGUGGGGGAUAACGUAGGGAAACUUACGCUAAUACCGCAUACGCCUAACGGUGAAAGCGGGGGAUCG
Molecule: ribosomal RNA, 200 nt
Filed under: uncultured bacterium
Lineage: Bacteria
Description: partial 16S ribosomal RNA
Rfam family: Bacterial small subunit ribosomal RNA
Source: RNAcentral